UGUCAAGCCCAAGGAAAUAUGAUUCUACUUUGACAACUGCCUCCUUUAUAGUUAACCAGAGUAUAGGGUUUCUUUUACUUUUCUUUCCUUUAUUUCCAAUUCAUUUCCUUGAUUUCAACUCAUCUUUAUCUUUCCAUAAUGAUUUUCACAUGAUUUUCAACCCUUAGAUCACGGUAGAGAGGGUAUCUUCUCAUAUUUCAAAAAGCCCCC
RNAcentral lists this long non-coding RNA (210 nucleotides) under Carica papaya (papaya). Its description in RNAcentral is "long non-coding RNA (CPAP_LNC002373)". Lineage: Eukaryota; Viridiplantae; Streptophyta; Magnoliopsida; Brassicales; Caricaceae. The record is from RNAcentral.